Molecule: RNA transcript, 880 nt
Organism: Hermetia illucens (black soldier fly)
Lineage: Eukaryota; Metazoa; Arthropoda; Insecta; Diptera; Stratiomyidae
Exons: 2
Source: RefSeq, a predicted model, not a curated record
CGCUUUGUCUCUCUUUCUAAAUGCAUACAAAUGCCGUGGUUGCUCUGCUCGUGCUUCAGAGCCUUGUCGACGAUCGCGCUGCCACCAUAACGAAAAUUCAGUUCUGCUGUCGACUGUUAUAUUCGAUGAGAAGGUCGGGUUUGCGCCCCGGCAUCUUGCAUGCAACAUCUUCGAAAAACCAAUCGGGGGGCUUGACGAAAUCCCAUUUGUUCCACAGCAUGACGAAAUUACUCUUGCGAAAACUAUUUUUGCCGAUCUCAAUGAAUUCGGAUCACGUCGCGUUAAAUCAAAAUCAGUUUUUUGGGGGAAGUAGUGUGUCCCGACUAGAAUGGUCUAGGCGGAUUCUAAUAGUAUAUGUAGAACAAAAUGGAGUGUUCGAAUCUUGGCAACCAUUUUCGAAAAUUUUCGUGCUGUUGUGGACGCGUGGUUGGAAGAUUGUUUUCAUGGGGGUCUGUGGAUUUUAAGCGUGCGACGAGAAUACAUCAAUUAGUGGGUAUUGGGAAGAACCGCUGUGUAAUGUGGUACCAAGGGUUUUGCCGCGAAUAUUUCAAAUGUUCCACUUUUCCCAGUCGGAUGUUGGAUAGAGUUAAUAUGAGCGACUGUUCAUUUGGUUAUGAAUAUGGUAAAAGGUUAAGCAGAGCUGUAGCUGUGGGUUUGAACAAAUUUCUGGCAAGUUUUACCUCUUACUCUUGAAGUGACUACUGUUGGGUACCGGCUAUCGCGACGUUUGUUCUAUGGUUCGAGGAAAUCCAACUCUACUACACCCAUCCAUCCUGCAUCGUGCUAGUUUCUUUCAUAAAUUACAAUAGUAUAGAACAGUACAGUAGUAAAUGUAGCCAAUAUUUUGUUAAAUCCUGCUUAGUUUUUAGAAAUAAAUGUA